RNAcentral lists this ribosomal RNA (173 nucleotides) under Providencia rettgeri. RNAcentral describes it as "partial 16S ribosomal RNA". It matches the Rfam family "Bacterial small subunit ribosomal RNA", at positions 1 to 169 of the family's 1533-position model. The record is from RNAcentral. Lineage: Bacteria; Pseudomonadati; Pseudomonadota; Gammaproteobacteria; Enterobacterales; Morganellaceae.
UAAUUGAAGAGUUUGAUCAUGGCUCAGAUUGAACGCUGGCGGCAGGCCUAACACAUGCAAGUCGAGCGGUAACAGGGGAAGCUUGCUUCCCGCUGACGAGCGGCGGACGGGUGAGUAAUGUAUGGGGAUCUGCCCGAUAGAGGGGGAUAACUACUGGAAACGGUAGCUAAUAC